GACCUGAUGCAGCCAUGCGCGUGUAUGAAGAAGGACUCCGGUUGUAAGUAACUUCUAGCAGUGAGGAAGGUGGAGUAUGUUAAUAGCAUAUUCAUUUGACGUUAGCUGCAGAAGAAGCACCGGCUAACUCCGUGCCAGCAGCCGCGGUAAUACGGAGGGUGCGAGCGUUAAUCGGAAUUACUGGGCGUAAAGCGCAUGCAGGUGGUUUGUUAAGUCAGAUGUGAAAGCCCGGGGCUCAACCUCGGAAUUGCAUUUGAAACUGGCAAACUAGAGUACUGUAGAGGGGGUAGAAUUUCAGGUGUAGCGGUGAAAUGCGUAGAGAUCUGAAGGAAUACCGGUGGCGAAGGCGGCCCCCUGGACAGAUACUGACACUCAGAUGCGAAAGCGUGGGGAGCAAACAGGAUUAGAUACCCUGGUAG
RNAcentral lists this ribosomal RNA (419 nucleotides) under uncultured bacterium. Its description in RNAcentral is "bacterial SSU rRNA". It matches the Rfam family "Bacterial small subunit ribosomal RNA", at positions 380 to 793 of the family's 1533-position model. The record is from RNAcentral.